UACGUAGGUGGCGAGCGUUGUCCGGAAUUACUGGGUGUAAAGGGCGUGUAGGCGGGGAAGCAAGUCAGAUGUGAAAUCCCGGGGCUCAACUCCGGAGUUGCAUCUGAAACUGUUUUUCUUGAGUGCUGGAGAGGAAAGCGGAAUUCCUAGUGUAGCGGUGAAAUGCGUAGAUAUUAGGAGGAACACCAGUGGCGAAGGCGGCUUUCUGGACAGCAACUGACGCUGAGGCGCGAAAGCGUGGGGAGCAAACAGGAUUAGAUACCCUGGUA
Molecule: ribosomal RNA, 269 nt
Filed under: uncultured prokaryote
Description: partial 16S ribosomal RNA
Rfam family: Bacterial small subunit ribosomal RNA
Source: RNAcentral